This 463-nucleotide ribosomal RNA is filed under the name uncultured Klebsiella sp. RNAcentral's name for it is "bacterial SSU rRNA". It matches the Rfam family "Bacterial small subunit ribosomal RNA", at positions 339 to 795 of the family's 1533-position model. Lineage: Bacteria; Pseudomonadati; Pseudomonadota; Gammaproteobacteria; Enterobacterales; Enterobacteriaceae. The record is from RNAcentral.
CUACGGGCGGCUGCCGUGGGGAAUAUUGCACAAUGGGCGCAAGCCUGAUGCAGCCAUGCCGCGUGUGUGAAGAAGGCCUUCGGGUUGUAAAGCACUUUCAGCGGGGAGGAAGGCGGUGAGGUUAAUAACCUCAUCGAUUGACGUUACCCGCAGAAGAAGCACCGGCUAACUCCGUGCCAGCAGCCGCGGUAAUACGGAGGGUGCAAGCGUUAAUCGGAAUUACUGGGCGUAAAGCGCGCGCAGGCGGUCUGUCAAGUCGGAUGUGAAAUCCCCGGGCUCAACCUGGGAACUGCAUUCGAAACUGGCAGGCUAGAGGCUUGUAGAGGGGGGUAGAAUUCCAGGUGUAGCGGUGAAAUGCGUAGAGAUCUGGAGGAAUACCGGUGGCGAAGGCGGCCCCCUGGGCAAAGACUGACGCUCAGGUGCGAAAGCGUGGGGAGCAAACAGGAUUAGAACCCCGGUAGUC